AUUGAACGCUGGCGGCAUGCUUUACACAUGCAAGUCGAACGGCAGCGCGGGCUUCGGCCUGGCGGCGAGUGGCGAACGGGUGAGUAAUGCAUCGGAACGUGCCCAGUAUUGGGGGAUAGCCCGGCGAAAGCCGGAUUAAUACCGCAUACGACCUGAGGGUGAAAGCGGGGGACCGAAAGGCCUCGCGCUAUUGGAGCGGCCGAUGUCGGAUUAGCUAGUUGGUGGGGUAAAGGCUUACCAAGGCGACGAUCCGUAACUGGUCUGAGAGGACGACCAGCCACACUGGGACUGAGACACGGCCCAGACUCCUACGGGAGGCAGCAGUGGGGAAUUUUGGACAAAGGGGGCAACCCUGAUCCAGCCAUGCCGCGUGCGGGAAGAAGGCCUUCGGGUUGUAAACCGCUUUUGUUCGGGAAGAAAUCCUCUGGGCUAAUACCCCGGGGGGAUGACGGUACCGGAAGAAUAAGCACCGGCUAACUACGUG
RNAcentral lists this ribosomal RNA (484 nucleotides) under uncultured bacterium. RNAcentral describes it as "partial 16S ribosomal RNA". It matches the Rfam family "Bacterial small subunit ribosomal RNA", at positions 29 to 507 of the family's 1533-position model. The record is from RNAcentral.